Molecule: ribosomal RNA, 492 nt
Filed under: uncultured bacterium
Lineage: Bacteria
Description: partial 16S ribosomal RNA
Rfam family: Bacterial small subunit ribosomal RNA
Source: RNAcentral
AGUGAACGCUGGCGGUAGGCCUAACACAUGCAAGUCGAACGGCAGCACAGUAAGAGCUUGCUCUUACGGGUGGCGAGUGGCGGGCGGGUGAGGAAUACAUCGGAAUCUACUUUUUCGUGGGGGAUAACGUAGGGAAACUUACGCUAAUACCGCAUACGACCUACGGGUGAAAGCAGGGGAUCUUCGGACCUUGCGCGAUUGAAUGAGCCGAUGUCGGAUUAGCUAGUUGGCGGGGUAAAGGCCCACCAAGGCGACGAUCCGUAGCUGGUCUGAGAGGAUGAUCAGCCACACUGGAACUGAGACACGGUCCAGACUCCUACGGGAGGCAGCAGUGGGGAAUAUUGGACAAUGGGCGCAAGCCUGAUCCAGCCAUACCGCGUGGGUGAAGAAGGCCUUCGGGUUGUAAAGCCCUUUUGUUGGGAAAGAAAAGCAGCAGGUUAAUACCCCGCUGUUCUGACGGUACCCAAAGAAUAAGCACCGGCCAACUUCGUG